CAAAUAAAAACAUUGCAAGAGAGGGCAGAAUCCAUGUUCGUAAUCCCCUAGCAAAUACACCACUAGGGAAAUUAUCCGGUGACAUUUCUGUCCAGACUUUUCUCAUACAAGUUUAGGAACAGGAGAAUACGUGGUUACAUGAAUACAUGUUAUCCUCAUAACAACAACCCUUUGAGGUAGUUCAGGCUAAGCGUGUAUGUCUGGUCCGAAAUCAGAGUGAGAUUUAUGGCUUAAUGAGCCAUCCCAAGGGCCAGACCAAAGCACCCCUAGCACUCUUCCACAAUGGCGCUUCAGACGGUGAUGACCUCAAAAGCUAUGUCUGGAACCAUCUUUGGUGGAUUUAUGCUUGCUGGCGCCUUAGAGUCCUCACCCUUUAAGGAAGAUCUCCAGCCAUUUAACACCUGAUGAAGGCUGGCUCAUCUCCUGCCAGGUCAGCCGGGGUUCUCAGCAUCCACGUGGUUGCUCUGCACCUUCCCCGAACAUGAACUGGAGCCAUCUGUCACCCUUGAUUGAUUGUGAUCUAAAAAUACCUCCUGGCCACAGCCUGAUGUCCAGAGGGGGGAUGGCUUGUUUUUGUAGUUGAGUUUGGAGUUCAUCCCAAGAGUGGGAGGUGCAGCCGGGUGACAUCUGCCCCUUGGGUGCACGCGUGUGCGCGUCGGAUUUCAUCUGUUUUUCGAUGCCACUGAAUGAACAGAACCCAGUCAACAGAAAACAUGGCAACUAUGACAUUAAUGGACCUCCUUCAAAGCUAGUGACCGCCAAAGGAUUCAGGAAUAAGACUGGAAAUCCUCAAGGCAGGAAUAGAGUCCACCCCCCUUUUUAGGUUAGUCCAAAAUGCUGUGCAUUUUGAUGGUACUGCACAACUAACAGAUACCAUGUGCUUUGUUGUGU
This 891-nucleotide long non-coding RNA is filed under the name Pogona vitticeps (central bearded dragon). Its description in RNAcentral is "lncRNA (ENSPVIG00000001095.1)". The record is from RNAcentral. Lineage: Eukaryota; Metazoa; Chordata; Lepidosauria; Squamata; Agamidae.